GGUGUUGAUGUAGAUCGCUGUCACAUGAUUAUGUCCCGGGCGGCGGCGGGGAGAGAGCCCCCCUUCUUCUUCUUCUUCCUUGACCUUCUCCCUAGAUGGGAGAAGGGUUUCCCCUCUGGUCCAUGGUCUCCAUGGCGGCGGAGGGGCAAGAGCCCCUCCGAGAUUGGAUCUCUCUCUCUGUGUCCUUCUGUUUCUGCUCUCCCAGAUUCUGGCUUUCAUCGUUUCUUAAAUUCCCAGAGAUCCGUAACUGCGAUUGGGCUGAAAUUUUAACACGAUUUUCUUCCGGAUAUUAGCUUUCUUGUGGAAAAAGAAGGGUCCCAACCGCCUUAGGGAUUGGUCACAAGCCUGUCAGCCGCACCCUAGGGGGCGCCUCUUGGGUUUGUGACCCCCUCGGGCAUCAUUUCACGUUGAUUCUUCUUUCCAAAAAUCAUAAAUAUUCCAAAAAAAUCCCCGUAGGUUUUUUUUGCGUUUGGACUUCGUUUGGUAUGGAUAUUCUGCGAAACAAAAAACAUGCAACAAACAGGAAGUGGCACUGGGCACUAGAUCAAUAUGUUAGUCCCAAAAAUAGUAUAAAAAGUUGCCAAAAGUAUGUGAAAGUUGUAGAAUAUUGGCAUGAAACAAUCAAAAUUAUAGAUACGACAGAGACGUAUCACAGUUGUACAUCUCGUUCGGAGCGGCUUGGCAAUGAAACCAAAGGACAUGCAGUCCCGGGACACACAGUCCCUAUCGUAUUCUCCUUGAGCUAAGGACACAGAGUCCUCGCCCAACACUCGGGGUAAGUCUUCAGGGCGGACUUCCAAACCCUCACAAACUCGGUCACCUGGCGAUCCACAAUUGACUGCUGGAUGCUCUAGACCAUGACGCCUAACCGUAUGGAGGAUGCACAGUCCUCAAAGGUAACAAGCGUCGGUUACACACACGAACAAUUUCUUCAGUGAUGCUCAAUCACUUGGGUUUUUGGUUUGGGUUUGGUAUUCGGGGUAUUUCCUCACUUGAUGAUUUUCUCUUGAAGACUCUAAGGAAUUUGGGUUGAUCUAAAUGACAAGUGUCAGUUUCUCUCGGAGCAGCCAACCACCAAGUGGUUGUGGGGGGGGGGGCUAUUUAUAGCCUGGGAGCAUCCGGACAUGAUUUGACAUAAAUGCCCUUAAAUAAUAUGACCGUUGGGUGGAUAAGAUCAGUGAGGUGGCGCAAGGCGCCACAACGGUUGGAACUUUCAACUGUGAAAGUCCUCAUGUCUUUCAUAUUCCUCACUUUGAGGCUUUGAUAGAUUUAGGCUUGGGUUGAGCAUCAUGAGAAAAAUCAUUCCGUAGUUUUACCUCGACCCCCUUUAACACUACGGUGUUCCUAUGACUCAAGUGGAAAGAAAAUGAAACAGAAAGAGUAAAUCCUCACGCUUCAAAGUCUUUAGAGUGUUUUCUUCAGGACACACCGAAUUCCUCAUCUUCAAUAUCUUCACGAGGAAUAUCAAUUUCAUCGCAAUUUCUUCGCGACCAGAGUCUUCAAGGAAGGACCAAAGUCUUGACCCGAAGACAUACAUUUUUAGGGGUCGAUAUUCAUCGGAUAACUCAACCUCCUCAGCGACUUAUAGAUCAUGUAUACACUCACAAACACAUCAGUCUCUUAACCUAUAAGUCUUCAAACCACCAAAAUCACUAAGGGGCACUAGAUGCACUUACAAUCUCCCCCUUUUUGGUGGUUGCUGACAAUAAGGUUAAGUUUUCAACGGGAAUAAUAAUAUGGAUGUAAGUAGAGAGUUUGAGGAAUAUGAAAUCAAGAUACAGACAAACUCCCCCUGAAGAUGUGCAUAUUUUGAAGAAUUUGGUUUGAACAUCAGAUGCACAUUGAUGAUUUAUAUCAUGGGGAUCUCCCCAUGUAUCUUACAAUUCAUGCAUGCGUUUGACAUAUGGCAUGAGGAAUUAGAAAUGCAUGAUGAAAAAUGGUGUCUGGCGAAUUUCAGCAUGCCUACAUUAAUAAACUUUAAGGAAUAAGCAUGCGAGGAAAAACGUUCAAAAGAGUCAGAACACCAUCGGGCUUAAGUUACAACUCAUUACAUCAAAAACUUCAGAAGAACCAAGAGUUUGUAACUUAAUAAAAUUUAUAAGCCCAUAAUGUAUCCCGCUUGAAGUCUAACUCUCAGAUUUCUCCCCGUGUGUCAUCAAGUGACGAGAAGGGACAAACUGAGGACUAACACCCUUGAAGAAAUUCACUUCUUUGUUGAUGUAGAGGCGUGAGCAUCCUUGGAGACAGGCUUCUUCCUUGGACCAGUUGCAGUGUCGUGUGGUUCUUCAUCUGAUUCUGCAGUGCGAAAUGAGGAAAAAGAAUUGUCCUCCAAGUUAGGAACUGGAAUUGGCUUGAAUUUCUUCUUUGAAGGCCACGGCCAGUCAAAGUCUUGAGUAAAUUCCAUUUAUCCUAGUUCCUAAGGAGUCUUCAGGUGAGCCAAGAUGGCCCAUGUGCGAUCAAAAACCUCAUGAAGAUAAUAGUGAAUUUUCUUCACUGCAUUUUGAGUUUCAUUGAGGGUUUUCACAAUGGUGCCAAACUGGCGUUUCACCCACUUGUGAUCGCGAUCGACUUUCUGGUGAAGAUUGAGGAGAAGCUCUCUAUUGGUCAUCACCCUAGGGGCAGUUGGGCUUGAAGAGUCUUGAGUAGCAGUAUCAUCAUAUGAAGAAUAUGAUUCAGCCUUGCCAAAUUGGUCGUCUAGGGGCCAAUUUCCUUCAUCAAUCACGGACUUGCCUUUGCCUUCAACUGGUCACAAGAUUGCUUGAUGACUUUGAUAGGCGGCAAAUAUCCGAGGUGAUUUUGAAAGUCAGCUUGAUAGUUGAUGCCAGAUUUGUUCCUGAUGAACCUCAUAAUCCAAGGUGCAUAAAUCUUCAGCUCAUAUGGUCUCAAAGCGUUGUCAGCCAAAGUCCUCAAGAAGAAAUCAUGAAGAUUCAUAGGAACGACAUGAAUGACGUUGAAUAGGAUAUUCUUCAUGAUGCCUACAGCGUCUUCUUCAUUGUCACGCCCUUUGAUUGGAGUGAAGGAAUAUGAAAAGAUUCGAUAGACAGUUUUGGGCUCAUACUUCAGAUCCUUUACGAGGUAUCUGGUCCUUGGAGGUUGGCCUUGAGCCAAAGGCUUCAUGAGGACUUCCAUGAGCUUGUUUGACAGUUCUCUUUCAUCAUAUAUUCUGACUGCAUCAUUUGAAGGAAUUGAUAUUGGGAGAGCUCGAAGCAAUUCUGUGGCUGGAGCUUUGUAAUGCGUGCGUUGAGUCAUCCAGUCCAAGACCCAUGUGGUGACGUCUUUGGGGUCGCCUGAGAUAUGGAGUGUGGCAUAGAAUUGAAGAAUUAUGUCAGUAUUCCAAUCACUGAUAUCUGUGCAGAAUGGCAGUAACCAUGCUUCAUGAAGAACAUUGAGGACUGGGGUGAAGCAAGGUAUUUCCUCCAUGUCACAAUGAGGAAUGUGGGUGUGAAGAAAUAUCUUCUUUCUUCCACAAAGCACAUAGGCAUACUAGUUGAGUUGAUUUCUGGUUCAGAAUUUCCUGUGCCUGAUGCGAAGCCUAUCAUAGGGAUUUGCACCUGUGAAGUAAUAGCGUUCAUCAAAGAAUGCUUCCUUCUGAAACUUUAGCCUCUUAGAGAAGGGUUGAUGAGGUUUUGGUUGAAGAUUAUGCUGCUGUUCAUUUUGAGGAGUUGUGGCCACCACAAUGGCAGUUUCAGGAUCCACCACAACAAUUGCAGUUUCCGCAUUUGGAGCAGGAGAAUUUUCUUCAUCUUCAGCAAUUUCUUCAGCUUUAGGAUUUUCUUCAGCUUGAGGAAUUUGUUGAUCUGAGGAAGCAGUUGCAGUUUUUGAUGCUGCAUUUUCUUCAGCUGAUGCAACUGAUUCUUGGUCUUGUGUUGAUUCCUCAUGUAUGCUCUUUUCAUCAGAGCCAGUCAGAAUUUCAAUGUCGGCCAGAAUUUGAGAAAUUUGGGUUGUUCUAGGUGAGUGCUGCGGCAACAAAAGUCCUUCCUUGGCGCUAGGAAUUCUUCUUGUUACUUCUCUGGUUUGCGUUGGUUUUUUCCUUGAAGAGGAAAGGGUGAUGCAGCACAGGAGCAGUAAGUAUUUCCCUCAGUUUGAGAACCAAGGUACCGAUCCAGAAGGAGGGCCUCGUCAAGUCCAGAGUACCUGCGCAAACACAAACAAGCUUGCACCCAACGCUUCAAAGGGGUUGUCAAUCCCUUCAAGAUUGUUUGCGAAGUGAGAUCUGAAGGCGGAAAGUGCAACGAAGUAAAAAAGUGUAAGGCUGAAAAUAUGGUGUGGAGUAGACCCUGGGGGCCAUAGUGUUCACUAGAUGCUUCUCUCAUAAUAGCAAAUAUCUCGGUGGGUGAACGAAUUACUGUCGAGCAAUUGAUAGAACCGCGCAAUGUCAUGACGAUAUCUAAGGCAAUGAUCAUACAUAUAGGCAUCACGUCCGAGACAAGUAGACCGAUACUUUCUGCAUCUACUACUAUUACUCCACACAUCGACCGCUAUCCAACAUGCAUCUAGUGUAUUGAGUUCAUGACGAACAGAGUAACACCUUAAGCAAGAUGACAUGAUAUAGAGGGAUAAUCUCAAACCAAUGAUGAAAACCCCAUCUUUUUACCCUUGAUGGCAACAACACAAUGCGUGCCUCGCUACCCCUUCUGUCACUNNNNNNNNNNNNNNNNNNNNNNNNNNNNNNNNNNNNNNNNNNNNNNNNNNNNNNNNNNNNNNNNNNNNNNNNNNNNNNNNNNNNNNNNNNNNNNNNNNNNNNNNNNNNNNNNNNNNNNNNNNNNNNNNNNNNNNNNNNNNNNNNNNNNNNNNNNNNNNNNNNNNNNNNNNNNNNNNNNNNNNNNNNNNNNNNNNNNNNNNNNNNNNNNNNNNNNNNNNNNNNNNNNNNNNNNNNNNNNNNNNNNNNNNNNNNNNNNNNNNNNNNNNNNNNNNNNNNNNNNNNNNNNNNNNNNNNNNNNNNNNNNNNNNNNNNNNNNNNNNNNNNNNNNNNNNNNNNNNNNNNNNNNNNNNNNNNNNNNNNNNNNNNNNNNNNNNNNNNNNNNNNNNNNNNNNNNNNNNNNNNNNNNNNNNNNNNNNNNNNNNNNNNNNNNNNNNNNNNNNNNNNNNNNNNNNNNNNCAAAAGAAGAUUACAUCAGAUAGAUCUCCAUGAAGAUCAUGGAGAACUUUGUGUUGAAGAUCCAAGAGAGAGAAGAAGCCAUCUAGCUACUAGCUAUGGACCCGUAGGUCUAUGGUGAACUACUCACACAUCAUCGGAGAGGUCAUGGUGUUGAUGAAGGAUCCCUCCGUGUCCGAAUCCCCCUUCCGGCAGGGAACCAGAACGUGCCCCAGAUGGGAUCUUGCGAAGACAGAAGCUUGCGGCGGCGGAAAAGUAAUUUCGAUGAUCUCGUGAUUUUUUGGGAUUUUUAGGGAAUUUAUAGGCGCAACCCCUAGGUCAGGGGGCCCACAAGCCUGUGGGCCGCGGCCUACCCCUUGGUCGCGGGGUGGGGUCUUGUGGGGCCCCUAAGGCUCCCCAGCCUUGGCUUUCAAUCUUCCCGAUCUUCUUCCGUUCCGGAAAAAAUCUUUUCGGGGAUUUUCUUCCGUUUGGAUUCUGUUUCAAAAUCUCCUCUGAAAGGGGUCAAAAAGAUGGAAAAAACAGGAAGUGAAACUUGGCACUGAGUUAAUAAGUUUGUCCCAAAAAUUAUACAAAAGGCAUGCAAAACAUCCAAAGUUUGACAAGAUAAUAGCAUGAAACCAUCAAAAAUUAUAGAUACGUUGGAGACGUAUCAGUGAGUUAGGGUGAGCUUGUUCCCAGAACUCAUCAUGGAUUAUAGGUGUUCUGCAUCUAAUUUCUUCAUCACCCUCCUUUUCUCCAGUGGUCAUGGGAGGUGUUGUGGCUUGAGGAAUAUCGUCAACUUGAAUUUCCUCAUCCAUCGGUGUGGAUGCACGGGAGCGAUUGUCUUCCAUUUCUUCAUCCUCUUCUGGAAUGUUGUAUUCCUCACCGAAUGGAACCAUCAUAUACGACGGUGCUACAUUUAGAGGAGUAGCAUACACCAUGGCUGAUGAAGAUUCUGAAGUCAUCAUCUUCAGAUGUUUUUCUUCUGGUGAUUCUGAAGCCAUUGAAGCUUUUAUCUUUUUAGCUUCCUUUUCAGCCACUUUGGUUUUCUUCACGUCUGCUGCAGACGGAGUCACUUUCUUCACCUUUGAGGAUUUAGGUGAAGGAGCAAUUUCAUCAGAGUCAGGCCUGGCAGAUUCUUCAGCUGGAAUGUUUUGAGGAAUUUUUUCAGUUGUUGGUUCUUCAUUUUCUUCGUCCUCAGCCGUUUGCACAGUAUGGCUUGGUUGAGGCUUUGUUGGCUGCUUGUAAGCGGCAAUUCUACUAUUUUAUUCAUCAACUGCUGCACUUGCGGCUUUGACGAAUUGUACUUUGGCGCCCUUUUGAUCAGCGUGAAGACUUGUAUAUGUGUCUGUGAGAGUCUUCAGCUCCGCCUAAGUAGAAACAAGUUUCUCAGGGGAUAAGGUGAGGAGGUUCUACUUCAAUAAUUUCUCCUUUUUGAUCGUGACAAGCCUAGCUUGCUUGGCUUGCUGAUCCUUCCAUUUAGCUUCAUUUAUGAAAGUGGCAACUGUUGGAAAUAUGCCCUAGAGGCAAUAAUAAAUUUGUUAUUAUUAUAUUUCCUUGUUCAUAAUAAUCGUUUAUUAUCCAUGCUAGAAUUGUAUUGAUUGGAAACUCAAAUACAUGUGUGGAUACAUAGACAACACACUGUCCCUAGUAAGACUCUAGUUGACUAGUUCGUUGAUCAAAGAUGGUCAAGGUUUCCUGACCAUAGGCAAGUGUUGUCACUUGAUAACGGGAUCACAUCAUUAGGAGAAUCAUGUGAUGGACAAGACCCAAAUUAUAUAUGUAGCAUAUUGAUCAUGUCAUUUUAUUGCUAUUGUUUUCCGCGUGUCAAGUAUUUGUUCCUAUGACCAUGAGAUCAUAUAACUCACUGGCACCAGAGGAAUGCCUUGUGUGUAUCAAACGUCACAACGUAUCUGGGUGAUUGUAAAGGUGCUCUACAGGUAUCUCCGAAGGUUUCCGUUGAGUUAGUAUGGAUGAAGACUGGGAUUUGUCACUCCGUGUGACGGAGAGGUAUCUCGGGGCCCACGCGGUAAUACAACAUCACACACAAGCCUUGCAAGCAAUAUGACUAAGUGUAAGUCACGAGAUCUUGUAUUACGGAACGAGUAAAGAGACUUGCCGGUAAUGAGAUUGAAAUUGGUAUGCGGAUACCGACGACCGAAUCUCGGGCAAGUAACAUACCGAAGGACAAAGGGAAUGACAUACAGGAUUAUAUGAAUCCUUGACACUGAGGUUCAACCGAUAAGAUCUUCGAAGAAUAUGUAGGAUCCAAUAUGGGCAUCCAGGUCCCGCUAUUGGAUAUUGAUCGAGGAGUACCUUGGGGCAUGUCUACAUAGUUCUCGAACCCGCAGGGUCUGCACACUUAAGGUUUGGUGAUGUUUUAGUAUAGUUGAGUUAUAUGCGUGGUUACCGAAUGUUGUUUGGAGUCCUGGAUGAGAUCACAUACGUCACGAGGGUUUCCAGAAUGGUCCGGAGAUGAAGAUUGAUAUAUAGGAUAACCUCAUUUGAUUACCGGAAGGUUUUUGGGCAUUACCGGGAAUAUACCGGGUGUGACGAAUGGGUUCCGGAUGUUCACCGGGAGGGGGCCAGACCACCCGAGGAAGCCCAUAGGUCCGAGGGGUGGCGCACCAGCCCUUGGUGGGCUGGUGGGACAGACCAAAAGGGCCCUAUGUGCCAGGGAUAGAAAAUCAAAGAGAAAGAAAAAAAAGGGGAGGCGGGAAGGAAGGGAAGGACUCCACCUUCCUAUCCUAGUUGGACUAGGAUUGGAGGUGGACUCCUACACCUCCUAGACGGCGCACCAUAGGGGGCCUUGUCCCUCAAGGCAAGCCUCCCCUCCCCUCCUCCUAUAUAUAGUGGAGUUUUAGGGCUGAUUUGAGACAACUUUUGCCACGGCAUCCUGACCACAAACACCACGGUUUUUCCUCUAGAUCGUAUUUCUGCGGAGCUCGGGUGGAGCCCUGCAGGAGUAGAUCCUUCACCACCACCGAAGCGUCGUCACGCUGCCGAAUAACUCAUCUACUUCUCCGUCUUGCUUGCUGGAUCAAGAAGGGCGAGAUCAUCAUCGAGUUGUACGUGUGUUGAACGCGGAGGUGCCGUCCGUUCGGUACUAGAUCGGAGCGGAUCGUGGGAGUUAUCGUGGGACGGUUCGUGGGACGGUCCGAUGGGCGGAUCGAGGGACGUGAGGACGUUCCACUACAUCAACCGCGUUUCUUAACGCUUCCUGCUGUGCGAUCUACAAGGGUACGUAGAUCCAAAUCUCCUCUCGUAGAUGGGCAUCACCAUGAUAGGUCUUCGUGCGUGUAGGAUUUUUUUUGUUUCCCAUGCGACGUUCCCCAACAGCAACCAUGUGGCUGACUCCAGGAGGAAGCUUCAAAUCAUCAAUUGGAGUGUUUGGAUCCUCAUGCCAGAGAUCAAUGAAGAUUAGCAAUUCCUUCGGAUCUAGCGUGAGAGGAAUGGUGCUUCGAGUGGCUUGUGCAACUCUUUCCUGCUUGUUUCUGAUGAUGGCUUGAAGAGUUUUAUCAUCAUAUUCUUCACUUUCUUCUGAUGCAGAAGGAAUGUUGACGAAUUUUCCAGGGCUUGGCCUGGUACCUCUACCAGCAGUCAUCUUAGUCUUCAACAGACUUGGUGAAGAUUUUGACGCAGAGCGAGUGGCAGAUGGCAUAGAGGAACUAGGGUUUUCCGAUUGAAUCUUACUGAGUUGCUUUUGCUGAGGUGGUGAAGACCUGGCUGCAGUUGAGGAUUUUGCAGUCGUUGCACUUUCUGAGGAAAUUUCUCUUUUGAUGCAGUUGUUGAGGCUUCUGGCUUGAGACUUGGUUUCUUCAGCAGAGCCUUUUUGUGAGGAAUGUCAGUAGCAAAGGCAUGUGCAACUGAAGAAAUGGGAGCAGUUGCUGCUGCAGUAGAGUCCUCAUUGAAUUUCGUCACAACAGCUUUAGCCUUUUUCUGCAGCUUAGACAAAUAUUUAUCUCUUUCAUCAGGGUAAUCCUCAAUAGUAGCUACAUUUGAGGGAUGAGCUGCUUGUUGAUCUCCGUGUGGCAACCUUUUGGAGGGAGCCUUGAGGGAAACUUCUUGGUAUAUUUUGGAGGCACAUAUCUGUAUUCUUUCCACUAUUUUGCCCAUCGGCGUUUUAUCCUCCGAAUCCUUAUCUUGCGCUUCGCCAUGGUCUCUUUACUGUGAAUUUCCUCAUCAGGUGUACAAUAAUCAACAUAGAUCUCCUCAGGGAUCUCAAAGGCAGUGUUUUGUUCCAGCUUCUUGCCCCCUUUUUGUUUCCUGUCUUCCUCCAUUUUCUUCAGCUCAGGCUUUUGCUGAGGAAUUUGUAUUCUUGAUGACUCUGAGGACACAGGUAAUGUUUCUUCUAGAAAUGCUACAAAUGAGUUAAGUUGAUGAGAACCUAGAGAUUCAUCAGCUGACAUUUUGUACCUGUGAACAUAGUAUAUAUAGGUGCGAAGAAUUUGGAGAGGUCAUAUGCGUUCUCAGAUUUGAGGAAAUUGAAGAAUUACUUAAGUUGAGGAAUUUGACCACUGAGUUGAGGAAUUUGACUAAGCAUUCUGAUCUUGGGUUCCAGAGUUGUGCAGAUUCGAAAAUUUACACAACUGAGAAAUCUCGUGAAGAAUUUCAGUGACUUAGUGAAAUUCAUCAAGUGUUCUAGACAUGAGUGUGCACUGCUAAGGAAAUUUCUGAGGAAAAACUAAUUUCACGAAUCUAAAGAGAAUUAUGAGAUCAACAGGGGCAGUAAAAUAGGAUUUUCUUUACCCUGUGCGAAGAACACGAUGAACUGAAGCAGUAAAAAUGGGAAGUUCUUCGGUCCAGAUCUUCAGUGCCCUAAAUUGGCGACCGAAGACAGCUACGACAGCGGCGGAGGAAGAUAUUCCGCAGUCGACGUGAGUCCGGCGACGACAAGGGCGAGGCAGUGAAGCUUUUCCUCACCGGUGACGAAGAUGCUAGCGGCGAUGCUAGGGUUUGAGCUCGAGCAGAGAAGACGAGAGGAAGAGAAGAGUUUCAGCUGACGGGGGGGGGGGGAANNNNNNNNNNNNNNNNNNNNNNNNNNNNNNNNNNNNNNNNNNNNNNNNNNNNNNNNNNNNNNNNNNNNNNNNNNNNNNNNNNNNNNNNNNNNNNNNNNNNNNNNNNNNNNNNNNNNNNNNNNNNNNNNNNNNNNNNNNNNNNNNNNNNNNNNNNNNNNNNNNNNNNNNNNNNNNNNNNNNNNNNNNNNNNNNNNNNNNNNNNNNNNNNNNNNNNNNNNNNNNNNNNNNNNNNNNNNNNNNNNNNNNNNNNNNNNNNNNNNNNNNNNNNNNNNNNNNNNNNNNNNNGGGGGGGGGGGGUAAGGGGCUAUUUAUAGCUCAGGUAAAAACGGUCCGGGCCGGAACUUUCGGACCGAACUGCCCUUGCGCCCUCGUCUCCGCGUGACACGUGGUGCCCACGAUCGAAGCGGUGGAGAUUGUGGUUAUCCAAACGUGAGUAGUGGGUGCGGUUACUGUGGUAACUUUAAAAAUAACUUUUGAAUCUUGAGGAUUUUGUUGCAAAGUCCUCGGCUGACAAGGACUCGGUGAGGAUUUUGAACAAGUGUCAAAUAGAAUGCAUAUGAAGAAUUGAGAAUAGACUGGGUUGAGCUUAGCAUAGAGGGGAGUCGGGUCCGAUCACAUUCACUUAGAAGAAAUAUCAAACUGAAGACUGAGCAAUAAGUGAAUGUUGUUGAGGACAUUGAAAGCUCAUUAAUAUAUAUAUAUACAUAUAGUAAAAUGAAGAUCACCACAAAAAGUUUUGAAGAAUUUGAAGAUUUUGAAGACUUUGAAAAAUUUGAGGAAUUUGUGAAAAAGUCUCAAAUUGAAGAAUUUCAACUUUGAAGAAUUUUCAACUUGAAGAAUUUCAAAGUUGGGUGGUGGCUUUACCCACCGUAUAAGAAUGAUGAUUCCAGGCGCCGUGUACAAUUGUCAUAGGGCCGUGAGAACCAAAUUCAUCAUUGAUUUCUUCACACUUAAAGUGAUAUUCUUAAUUGAUUGAAGAAAAUCAUUACUUUGUGUGUUGCACAUCUAAGUCAUCAAUUUUGCAUAAGUGUUAGGAUGUGUGCAUGUUUACAAGACAUUCGAUGAUUCUAGGAUAUUUAGCUCACACCGCAACUUGCAAAACCUUCUCUCAUCCAAGGGCUUUGUGAAAAUGUCUGCUAGUUGAUCAUCAGUCUUCACAUGGUCGAUGAUGAUAUUGCCCUUGAGGAUAUGGUCACGAAGAAAAUGAUGACGGAUCUGGAUGUGCUUGGUCUUCGAGCAUCGUACUGGGUUGUAGGCGAUCUUGAUUGCACUCUCGUUGUCACAGUAGAGGGGCACAUUCUUCAUGUUGAUGUCGUAGUCUCUGAGGGUUUGCUUCAUCCAGAGCAGUUGAGCACAUUAAGAUCUAGCAUCAAUGUACUCAGCUUCAGCACUCGAGAGUGAUACACAAUUCUGCUUCUUUGAGGACCACCAGACUAAUGAUCUUUCGAGGAAAUGGCAUGUGCCUCGUGUUGACUUGCGAUCCACACGGUCACCAGCAUAAUCAGAAUCAGAAUACCCAACGAGGUGAAGAUUUGAACCCUUGGGGUACCAUAAUCCUAGUGUUGGUGUGUGAUACGUCUCCAACGUAUCUAUAAUUUUUUAUGGUUUUAUGCUAUUAUCUUGUCAAACUUUGGAUGUUUUGCAUGCCUUUUAUAUAAUUUUUGGGACUAACUUAUUAACUCAGUGCCAAGUGCCAGUUCCUGUUUUUUCCAUGUUUUUGACGCCUUUCAGAGGAGAUUUUGAAACGGAGUCCAAACAGAAUAAAAUCCCCGAAAAGAUUUUUUCCGUAAUAGAAGAAGAUCAGGAGACUUGACAGCCAAGGCAGGGGAUCCCCAGGGGAACCACAAGGCCCCACCCCGCGGCCAAGGGGGGAGGCCGCGGCCCACAGGCUUAUGGGCCCACUGGACCUCCUUUGCCCUAGGUUUCGCGCCUAUAUAUCCCCAAAAAUUCCACAAAAAAUCAGGAGAUCAUCAAAAGUACUUAUCCACCGUCGCAAGCUUCUGUCUCCGCAAGAUCCCAACUGGGGCACGUUUUGGUGCCGUGUCGGAGGGGGGAUUCGGAUACGGAGGGCUUCUUCAUCAACACCAUGACCUCUCCGAUGAUGCGUGAGUAGUUCACCAUAGACCUACGGGUCCAUAGCUAGUAACUAGAUGGCUUCUUCUCUCUCUUGGAUCUUCAAUACNAUCUUCAUGGAGAUCUAUAUGAUGUAAUCUUCUUUUGAAGUGUGUUUGUCGAGAUCCGAUGAAUUGUGGAUUUAUGAUCAGAUUAUCUAUGAAUCUUAUUUGAGUUUCUUCUGAUCUCUCUUAUGCAUGAUUUCAUAUCCUUGUAAUUCUCUUCGAGUUGUGGGUUUUGUCUGACCAACUAGAUCUAUGAUUCUUGCAAUGGGAGAAGUGCUUGGUUUUGGGUUCAUACCGUGCGGUGACCUCACCGAGUGACAGAAGGGGUAGCGAGGCACGCAUCAUGUUGUUGCCAUCAAGGGUAAAAAGAUGGGGUUUUCAUCAUUGGUUUGAGUUUAUCCCUCUACAUCAUGUCAUCUUGCUUAAGGCGUUACUCUGUUCGUCAUGAACUCAAUACACUAGAUGCAUGCUGGAUAGCGCUCGAUGUGUGGAGUAAUAGUAGUAUAUGCAAAAAGUAUCGGUCUACUUGUCUCGGACAUGAUGCCUAUAUGUAUGAUCAUUGCCUUAGAUAUCGUCAUGACUUUGCGCGGUUCUAUCAAUUGCUCGACAAUAAUUUGUUUACCCACCGUGAUAUUUUCUAUUUUGAGAGGAGCCUCUAGUGAACACUAUGGCCCCGGGGUCUACUCCACACCAUAUUUUCAGCCUUACACUUUUUACUUCAUUGCACUUUUCGCCUUCAGAUCUCACUUUGCAAACAAUCUUGAAGGGAUUGACAACCCCUUUAAAGCGUUGGGUGCAAGCUCUUUUGUGUUUGCGCAGGUACUCUGGACUUGACGAGAUUCUCCUACUGGAUUGAUACCUUGGUUCUCAAACUGAGGGAAAUACUUACUGCUCCUAUGCUGCAUCACCCUUUCCUCUUCAAGGGAAAAACCAACGCAAGCUCAAGAGAUGAUAGAAGGAUCUUUGGCACCACUGUCGGGGAAGGACUUUUGUUGCCGUAGCAGAAGGAUUUUGGCGCUGUUGCCGGGGGGAUCAAGUCAAGAACUCAUCCAAGUAGGUGUCGCAAACUCAUCUCUUGCAUUUACUUUAUUUGCCAGUUGCCUCUCGUUUUCCUCUCCCCCACUUCACAAUUUUCCUUUUUCGUUUGCCUUUUCGUUCACCUUUUUUUUUCUCGCUUGCUCUAUGUUCGCUCGUGUGCUUGCUAGUAGAAGUCACCAUGAAUGAAAACACCAAACUUUAUGACUUCUCGAAUACUAAUAAUAAUGAUUUUAUUAGUACUCCGAUUGCUCCCGCCACUAGUGCGGAGUCAUACGAAAUCAAUGCCGCUUUGCUGAAUAUUGUUAUGAAAGAGCAAUUCUCCAGCCUUCCUAGUGAAGAUGCCGCAUCCCAUCUCAAUACCUUCAUUGAGCUUUGCGAUAUGCAAAAGAAGAGAGAUGUGGAUAAUGACGUGAUUAAAUUGAAUCUUUUUCCUUUCUCGUUGCGAGAUCGCGCAAAAACUUGGUUUUCUUCUUUGCCCAAAAAUAGUAUCGAUUCUUGGGAUAAGUGCAAAGAUGCUUAUAUAUCCAAGUAUUUUCCGCCGGCUAAGAUUAUCUCUCUCCGUAAUGAUAUCAUGAAUUUCAAGCAACUUGAUCAUGAACAUGUUGCACAAUCUUGGGAGAGAAUGAAAUUAAUGAUUAGAAAUUGUCCCGCUCAUGGCUUGAGUCUUUGGAUGAUUAUUCAAAUCUUUUACGUUGGCUUGAAUUUCGCUUCUAGAAAUAUCUUGGACUCCGCCUCAGGUGGAACGUUCAUGGAAAUCACGUUAGGGGAAGCCACAAAGCUCUUAGACAACAUCAUGACGAACUACUCUCAGUGGCACACUGAAAGGUCACCUACUAGUAAGAAGGUACACGCUAUAGAAGAAAUUAACUCGUUGAGUGCUAAGAUGGACAAGUUAAUGAAUUUGGUUGCUAGUAGAAGUGCUCCUUUAGAUCAUAUUGGUAUGCCCUUGUCUUCUUUGAUUGAUAGUAGCAACGCUAGCUUGGACGUUAAUUUUGUUGGUAGGAAUAACUUUGGCAACAACAAUGCUUUUAGAGGAAACUAUGUUCCUAGGCCUUUUCCUAGUAACUCCUCUAAUAAUUUUGGCAACUCCUACAACAAUACUCAUGGAAAUUACAAUAGAUUACCCUCUGAUCUAGAGAGUAAUAUCAAAGAGUUCAUCAACUCUCAAAAGAUUUUCAAUGCGUCCAUAGAGGAAAAACUACUCAAAAUUGACGAUUUGGCUAAGAGCGUUGAUAGAAUGUCUAGUGAUGUUGAUGCUUUGAAAGUUAGAUGUGCUCCUGCCAAGAUCAACAUGGAUGAAAAUUUGAAAGCUAUGCGUGUUUCCAUGAUUGAGAGCCAAGAAAGAACCGCCAAAAUUCGUGCUAGACAUGAAUGGCUUAAAAAGGUGUGUUCUCGUGAUAAGAAUCACGAAGAUCUUAAAGUGCUAGGUGUAACUCCCAUUGAAUCUUUUUUUUCUUGUGUCAAACCUAAUGAUUAUGGGGCUGGAUAUGAAUCCACUUUGGUUGAAAAGUGCCCCAAUGAUUCGGAGUCCAUCUAUCUUGAUGCUAAAAGCAUUGAAAGUGGAGUAGAAGAUGUUAAAACUUUGAGUAGUAAUGAAAUUACUACCAUGGAUUUCAAGGAAUUCAAUUAUUAUAGUUGCUCCUUGAUUGAAUGCAUUUCUUUGAUGCAAUCCAUGUUAAACUCUCCACACGCUUAUAGCCAAAACAAGGCCUUUACCGAUCAUAUCGUCGAAGCUAUGGUAAAAUCUCUUGAAGAGAAACUUGAAUUGGAAGUCUCUAUCCCUGGAAAGCUUCAUGAUGAGUGGAAACUUACCAUCAAAAUCAAAAUCAAAAACUAUGAAUGCAAUGCUUUGUGUGAUUUGGGUGCUAGUGUUUCUGCGAUUCCAAAGUCUUUAUGUGAUGUUCUGGGUUUUAAUGAGAUUGAAGAGUGUUCUCUUAAUUUGCAUCUUGCUGAUUCUACUGUCAAGAAACCCAUGGGAAUGAUCAAUGAUGUUCUUAUUAUUGCAAAUAGGAACUAUGUACCCGUGGAUUUCAUUGUGCUUGACAUUGAUUGCAAUCCUGCAUGCCCUAUUAUUCUUGGUAGACCUUUCCUAAGGACUAUCGGUGCUAUCAUUGAUAUGAAGGAAGGGAAUAUUAGAUUUCAAUUUCCUUUAAGGAAGGGCAUGGAACACUUUCCUAGAAAUAAAACAAGAUUGCCUUAUGAAUCUAUGAUGAGGGCCACUUAUUGUUUGAGCACCAAAGACGACGAUACGUGAUUCUAUCGCUUUUAUGCCUAGCUAAGGGCGUUAAACAAUAGCGCUUGUUGGGAGGCAACCCAAUGAAUUUAGAGAGAAUUCCUUCUAUGACACUACUCUUAAAUUUGAUGCCUUAUGUGACACUCCCAACUUUUUGCUUCCUUCUAUGGUCACUUGUGUAAAAAUUAUGCCUCACAUGACACUGCCAUUGGUUCUGUUAAAUCGUUCUGUCACUUUUUACCCGUCUAGACCAAACAACCCCCGUUUGACUCGAUCUAGCACCCCCAGCCCAGCCUUCCUCAUGUUACGAGCAAAGCAGAGCCCACACCUCAUGUGAAACCCUAGCAGCAGCGGCGCGGCUGUGUCACCGGAAGGCACGGCGACCGAGGGCGCCAUGGAGCAGGCGGCGGCUCAAGAAGAACCAGGCGGCGCGACGGCUGAGGGCGGGCAAGGCGCGGCGGCCGACGGCGUCAUGGAGCAGGCGGCGGCUGAAGGAGAAGCAGGCGGCGCGACGUCGGAGGGCGGGCAAGGCGCGGCGGCCGAGGGCGGGCAAGGCGGGGCAGCCGAGGGCGCCAUGGAGGGCGGGCAAGGCGCGGCGGCCGAGGGCGCCAUGGAGGGCGGGCAAGGCUGGUCGGCUUGGGCAGAUUGGCAAGAAGGGUGAGUGCUUCGAGCUUGUACUCUCCAGAUGCUGAAAUUUAGUAGCAAUGUGUGAGCUGUGUAUGCUGAAAUUUAGUAGCAAGAAGGAUAAGUAUGGAGAUCUCUUUGGUAUGCAUAAAUUUAGUAGCAAUGUUUAUGUAUUUCUCUGUGAUUUGCAGGAUGAAUCCAGAAAAGGUAGUGCAGAUGUUGAUUGCAUAUUGUGAUCCCUCCAAAGAAACAUAUGAGCAUGUUCAAGCGAACAACAACACAAACGAGGCCGAUGAUAGUUAUCUUUGCAACCCAAUCCCGGAGAAUGAGCAUGUUGGUAUUGACAAGGAGAAAAUGUAUUUGGAGAAAUAACCUAUGCCUAUAAAAUUGGUUCUUUUUUCUGGUAAAGAGAAAGACAAAACCAAUGUUUCUGAGGAUGGUAGCGAGGAUGGUAGCGAGGAUGGGAGUGAGGAUGGGAGCGAGGAGGAGCCUGAAGUAGAGGAGGAGCCUGAAGUAGAGGAGGAAGAGUUGCAUGAGUCAGAUCAUGCCCCAAAUACAGAGUAUGAACAGCAAGACCCUCCAAUGACUGUAGGAUCCACAUAUCCCAAUAUGGAUGUGUUUAAGUUGGCUCUUUCUCAGCAUGCAGUCAAACGUGACUUUGAGUAUAACACAGUGAAGCACACAACGUAGGUUAAGGGUCUAUUGUAAAAGAAGAGAUGAAGAUGAUUGCCCAUGGAGGAUACAUGCUUCUACAACAGCUGAUAGGUGUACUGUAAUGGUAAUUGUCUAACUGUACUUAUUUCUGAAUAUAUCUUGCAUAAAUGCUGAGGAGAUUUUAGCUUACCUGUAUUCCUCUUUUGUAGGUGAAAAAAAACUUUUGACCACGAUUGUUCUAGUGCGAAAAGGAAAAAGAAAGUGAAGAACGCAACUAAGUUCUGGAUAUGUGAGAAGGUGAAAGAUUGGCUCAUUGGAGAUGCAACUCUAGGAGCAAAGGAAUUGCGACAAAAGUUGAAAGAACACUACAAGAUCAAAAUCCACUACAAGAGAGUCUAUAUGGGUAAGCUACUAGCCUUGAAGCAACUAUACGGUGAUUGGGAUAGUAGUUUUAACAACUUGUAUAGGUUUAAAGCACAAGUUGAAAGUUGCUGCCCUAAUAGCAUAGUGCAUAUCGACCAUCAUACCAUAAAUGGUAAAAUAAGGUUUAGAAGAAUUUUUGUUGCUCUCAAACCUUGCAUAGAUGGAUUUCUUAGUGGCUGUAGGCCAUAUUUAGUUGUGGACAACACCUUUAUGACAGGCAGAUUCAAGGGGCAAUUGGCUAGUGCUACUGCAGUGGAUGGCCAUAAUUGGAUGUAUCCAGUUUGUUUUGGAGUUUUUGACUCUGAAACAAAUGAAAAUUGGAUAUGGUUCAUGCAAUUGCUAAGACAGGCCAUAGGAUCACCAACAGGUUUAGCCAUAUGCACUGAUGCUAGCCAAGCAGUGAUGAAAGGGGUAAAAGAAGUGUUCCCGGAGGCAGAACAUAGAGAAUGUAUGUUCCACUUGGUGAGCAACUUCAAGAAGAAGAUUACUGGAAAAGUAUUUGAUGACCACCUAUGGGAAGCUGCUUACUCAUGGAACCCAUAUACAUUUUACAAGAAUUGGGCUGCAAUGGAGGCAGUAAAGCCAGCCUCAACAACAUAUAUUAGGAAGUGGCACAAUAGGUUGUGGUCUAGGAGUCAGUUCUCGACCAUAUGCAAGGUGGACUAUGUAACCAACAACUUGGCAGAGUGCUUUAACAAUUGGAUCAAGCACCACAAGUCAUUGAACUUGGACGAUUUCUUGGAUAAGGCAAGGCAGCUGAUUAUGAUCUUGUGGAAUGAUAGGAGAAAAGUAGCAAAGAAGUUAGAUGGAUUGAUUCUACCCCACAUAAUGAAGAAGUUAAACGCAAUGACUAGAGAAUUCAACUUGGAGGUAGUACAAUGCUCAGAAGAAGUGGCUGAAGUGGUUGCAUUAGGGGGCAGCGGUUUUAGGUUUGUCGUUAACUUGCAAGAUCAAACAUGUUCAUGUCGACAAUGGAAAGUUUGUGGUCUUCCUUGCAAACAUGCUCUUGCAUUCAUCACGUCACUUAGCGAAGCUCACAUAAAGAAUUACGUUGAUUUGUAUUAUUCCACUAAAAAAUUCAGAGCAGCCUAUUCCAACCUGAUCCCUGCUAUGCGUGACAAGAGCCAAUGGCCUGAAUCUGACCAUGGAUUUUUCAUGCAUCCACCACUACUUAAAGCUACAACUGGCAGACCUAAAACUGAGGGAUAUAAAGGUUGUAGUGACAAGAAAAGAAAAGGGGGCAAGCACUUAUGUCCAAUUUGUAAGGAAUAUGGGCAUCAUUGGCACAACUGUAAGAAGGGUAACCCUGAUGACAUUGCUGCAAUGUUGGCUAUUAGGUAAUAUAGAUUACUCUUCCUUGAUUGUCUUAUUAUUUUUGUUUGCAACUACAUGUGUUAACUACUUUUCCUAUUUCUCAUGUAGAGAACCACCAAAGAAGAGGGCAAAGACUAGCAAAACAGCCCAGUCCAUUGUGCCUUGCGAGGAUGGAGCACCAACAAGGAUGCUUUUUCCACCACCAAGGUUAGCACUUAUACACUUCUGCCAAUGAAUAUGAAAACUCACUUUAUGUUCUAAGUUUUUUCUUUCUCAUCAUAGCCAAAUCUUGGAAACUACAACUAAGAAAAAGAGAAAACAUGACAACACUAAAUCUGGAGGUUCAAAGAGGUACUUUUCUGUAUUACUUGAUGUUGCUGCCAUAAACUUGUUGUAUUAUGUUGCUGCCAUAAACUUGCUGCUGCUCUAAACUUACUGCUGCCAUAAACUUGUUGUUGUCAUUACCGCGAUAAACUUGCUACUGCCAUAAAAUUUAUGGUGUCAUUACUACCCUAAACUUACUGUUGCCAUACACACAUGUGCAGAUCAAAAACUAGCUCCAUUGAGAAGGCCAAGACGGAAAAGAAGGUUGCUGAGAAGAUUCCGAUGCCACUUGACAUCCCUGCUAUGAGAACAAGGGGCAGAAAGUUUAAUCCUCCUAGCCUUGCUAUGAGCACAAGAAGCAAAAGAAGGCUCAGCUUGUAAUUUCAUAUGCUUCUAUGCUCUUCCAUUGAUAUAAGAGAUCUCUUGAUGUAAUGGUUCUUUUGGAGUUCCUGUGAUAUGCUGGUUCUUUUAGAAGUCCUUUGGCCUGACAUAUGUGAACUAUUGGUGACUUAUGUGUGAAUCUGGUUGCUUAUGGCACUUGUUGAGAAUUGUUCAAUCCAUUAUAUACAUAUAAACUGUGUACAGGGGAUAUCGCAUCAAAAUACAGGGGAGGUUCUGCCAAUUUUUUGAUUUUUGAUUUUAUUUUUUCUUGUAUUUUUGUCACACAUAGUACAACAAUAUUUAUUGUAUUUUUGUCACACAUUACACCAGGGGCAAAAGUGACUUUGUAUGUGAAAAGUUGACACCGUAGAAGGAAGCAAAAAUGUUGGGAGUGUCACAUAAGGCAUCAAAUUUAAGAGUAGUGUCAUAGAAGGAAUUCUCUCAUGAAUUUAUCUUUUUAUUUCUAUUUUGUUGCGUCCACACCAUCAUAAUUCUGUUGUGAUUGUGUUUUUUUUGUUUCUUUUUAUGUUUGAGCCAAGCAAAACCUUUAUGACCAGUCUUGGUGAUGGUUGUUUGAUCCUGCUGGAAAAAGACACAAACUUUUUGCUCACAGAUGAUUUUUCAUUUCUAUUCAGAAAGAGCUUUUGAGUUGAUUCGUUUUGCUGCUGGUUGAUAUGACUUUUUCCUAGGCAGUCGUAAUUUGUCAGAAUUUUUGAGGUACCAGAAGUAUACGAAGUAUACAGAUUGCUACAGACUGGUCUGUUUUUGACAGAUUCUGUUUUUGUUGAGUUGGUUGCUUGUUUUGAUGAAACUAUGGUUAGUAUCGGGGGGGUACUAGCCAUGGAAAAGUGAGAAUACAGUAUAUCAACACCAAUAUAGAUGGAAUUUAAGUUUGCUAUAGUACCAAAAGAGGUGGUAGUUUGUUUUCUUGUGCUAAUGUUAUCACGAGUUUCUGUUUAAGUUUUGUGUUGUGAAGUUUUCAAGUUUUGGGUGAUGUUCUCAUGGACAAAGAGAUAAGGAGUGGAAAGAGCUCAAGCCUAGGGAUGCCCAAGGCAUCCCAAGCCAAAUUCAAGGACACCAAAAAGCCUAAGCUUGGGGAUGCCCCGGGAAGCAUCCCCUCUUUUGUCUUCAAUCCAUCGGUAACAUUACUUGGAGCUAUAUUUUUAUUCACCACAUGAUAUGUGUUUUGCUUGGAGCAUCUUGUAUCGUAGGAGUCUUUUUUUUGUGUCACAAUCAUCCUUGUUGCACACCUUUUUGAGAGAGAGAGAGACAUGCACUCAUCGUGAUUUUGCUAGAAUGCUCAUAGUGCUUCACAUAUAUCUUUUGAGCUAGAUACUUUUGCUCUAUGUGCUUCACUUAUAUAUUUUAGAGCACGGCGGUGCGUGACUUGGUAGUUGGCUUAUGCUAUGAAAGUAGUCCCAAAUGUGAUAGGUACCCAAAGAGGAUGCAAAAACCUCCAUCUUCAUGUGCAUUGAGUAGAAAGAGAAGUCUUGAUUCCUCUCAAUUAGUUUUGAGACGUGGAUUUGGUAAUAUUAAGAGCUAUGUUAGUAGGGUGUUGUGAAUCUAGAGAUACUUGUGUUGAAGUUAGUGAUUCCCGAGCAUGCACGUAUGGUGAACCGCUAUGUUAGGAAGUCGGAGCAUAAUUGAUCUAUUGAUUGUCAUCCUUUGUUUUGAGGUCGGGAUCGCGCGAUGGUUAACACCUACCAACCCUUCCCCUAGGAGUAUGCGUUUUGCACUUUGUUUCGAUUACUAAUAAAAUAUUUCGCAACAAGUAUGUGAGUUCUUCAUGACUAAUGUGAGUCCAUGGUAUAGAUGCACUUUCACCUUCCACCAUUGCUAUCCUCUCUAGUACCGCGCAAUUCUCGCCGGUGCACAAACCCACCAUAUGCCUUCCUCAAAACAGCCACCAUACCUACCUACUAUGGCAUUUUCAUAGCCAUUCCGAGAUAUAUUGCCAUGCAACUCCCACCGUUCCGUCUCAUGACUUGUGCCGUCACUCUCAUAUUGCCAUUGCAUGAUCGUAAGAUAGCUAGCGAGAUGUUUUCAACGUCAUAUGCCAUGCUAGAUCGUUGCACAUCCCGGUACACUGUCGGAGGCAUUUCCUAUAGAGUCAUCAUCAUUUUGAGCUUUGAGCUUAGAGUAAAUAAAAGUGUGAUGAUCAUAAUUGUUAGAGCAUUGUCCCAUGUGAGGAAAUAAAAAAAGGCCAAAGAGCCCAAAAAAGGAGAAAAUAGAAAAAAAAGGGAGGCCUAAGAGCCCAAAUAAAAAAAGUGAGAAAAAGAGAGAAGGGACAAUGCUACUAUCUUUUUCCACACUUGUGCUUCAUAAUAGCACCAUGUUCUUCAUGAUUGAGAUCUUCUUGCUUUGUUACUACCAUAUGCUAGUGGGAAUCUUCAUUAUAGAACUUGGCUUGUAUAUUCCAAUGAUGGGCUUCCUCAAAUUGCCCUAGGUCUUCGUGAGCAAGCAAGUUGGAUGCACACCCACUAGUUCUCCUUUUGAGCUUUCACAUACUUAUAGAUCUAGUGCAUCUCUUGUAUGGCAACCCCUACUCGUUCACAUUGAUAUCUAUUAAUGGGCAUCUCCAUAGUCCUUUGAUACGCCGAGUCAAUGUGACCAUCUCCUCCUUUUUGUCUUACAACCACCACCACACUCUAUUCCACCUAUAGUGCUAUAUCCAUGGCUCACGCUCAUGUAUUGCGUGAUAGUUAUAAAAAGUUUGAGAAAGUAAGAGUGCGAAAACAAUUACUUGGCCAAUACUGGGGUUGUGCAUGAUUUACAUUAGUUGUGUGAGGAUCAUGGAGCAUGGUCAGACUAUAUGUUUUUGUAGGGAUAAGUUUCAUUGGCCUUGUUAUUUUGAAAGUUCAUGAUUACUUUGCUAGUUUUCUUGAAGUAUUAUUGUUUUCAUGUCAAUAGAAAACUAUUGUUUUGAAUCUUAUGGAUCUGAACAUUCAUGUCACAUGAAAGAAGUUGCAAAGGACAACUAUGCUAGGUAUCAUUCCACAUCAAAAAUUCAUUCUUUAUCACUUCCCUACUCGAGGACGAGCACGAGUUAAGCUUGGGGAUGCUUGAUACGUCUCCAACGUAUCUAUAUUUUUUGAUGGUUUCAUGCUAUUAUCUUGUCAAACUUUGGAUGUUUUGCAUGCCUUUUAUAUAUUUUUUGGGACUAACGUAUUAACUCAGUGCCAAGUGCCAGUUCCUGUUUUUCCAUGUUUUUUACCCCUUUCACAGGAGAUUUUGAAAUGGAGUCCAAACGGAAUAAAAUCCCCAAAAAGAUUUUUUUCCGUAACAGAAGGAGAUCACGAGACUUGAGAGCCAAGGCAGGGGAUCCCCAGGGGCCCCACAAGCCCCACCCCGCGGCUAGGGGGGAGGCCGCGGCCCACAGGCUUGUGGGCCCCCUGGAUCUUCUUUGCCCUAGGUUUUGCGCCUAUAUAUCCCCAAAAAUUCCACAAAAAAUCAGGAGAUCAUCGAAAGUACUUUCUCACCGCCGCAAGCUUCUGUCUCCACAAGAUCCCAUCUGGGGCACGUUCUGGUGCCCUGCCGGAGGGGGGAUUCGGANCGAGAUCCGAUGAAUUGUAGAUUUAUGAUCAGAUUAUCUAUGAAUCUUAUUUGAGUUUCUUCUGUUCUCUCUUAUGCAUGAUUUCAUAUCCUUGUAAUUCUCUUCGAGUUGUGGGUUUUGUCUGGCCAACUAGAUCUANNNNNNNNNNNNNNNNNNNNNNNNNNNNNNNNNNNNNNNNNNNNNNNNNNNNNNNNNNNNNNNNNNNNNNNNNNNNNNNNNNNNNNNNNNNNNNNNNNNNNNNNNNNNNNNNNNNNNNNNNNNNNNNNNNNNNNNNNNNNNNNNNNNNNNNNNNNNNNNNNNNNNNNNNNNNNNNNNNNNNNNNNNNNNNNNNNNNNNNNNNNNNNNNNNNNNNNNNNNNNNNNNNNNNNNNNNNNNNNNNNNNNNNNNNNNNNNNNNNNNNNNNNNNNNNNNNNNNNNNNNNNNNNNNNNNNNNNNNNNNNNNNNNNNNNNNNNNNNNNNNNNNNNNNNNNNNNNNNNNNNNNNNNNNNNNNNNNNNNNNNNNNNNNNNNNNNNNNNNNNNNNNNNNNNNNNNNNNNNNNNNNNNNNNNNNNNNNNNNNNNNNNNNACCCAGUGACAGAAGGGGAAGCGAGUCACGCAUCGUGUUGUUGCCAUCAAGGNGAGUAAUAGUAGUAGAUGGAGAAAGUAUCGGUCUACUUGUCUCGGACGUGAUGCCUAUAUGUAUGAUCAUUGCCGUAGAUAUUGUCAUGACUUUGCGCGGUUCUAUAAAUUGCUCGAUGGUAAUUUGUUUACCCACCGUGAUAUUUGCUAUUUUGAGAGAAGCCUUUAGUGAACACUAUGGCCCCGGGUCUACUCCACACCAUGUUUCCAGCCUUACACUUUUUACUUCGUUGCACUUUUCGCCUUCAGAUCUCACUUUGCAAACAAUCUUGAAGUGAUUGACAACCCCUUUAAAGCGUUGGGUGCAAGCUCUUUUGUGUUUGUGCAGGUACUCUGGACUUGACGAGAUUCUCCUACUGGAUUGAUACCUUGGUUCUCAAACUGAGGGAAAUACUUAUUGCUCCUGUGCUGCAUCACCCUUUCCUCUUCAAGGGAAAAAACAACGCAAGGUCAAGAGACGACAAAAGGAUCUCUGGCACCACUGUCGAGGAUGGACUUUUGUUGCCGUAGCAGUGUGUGAGCUAGAUAUAGAAGAAUACGUUUGACAACCUUAUGGUGUGAUUCCUUCAAUUUUGCUUGAAAUUGAGCACACAUGCAAACACUAAGCAUAAUAUGUGGCCUAGAUGCACAUAGUUCAAUAACGAGCCAAUCAUAGAGCGAUAUACCUGCCGAUCGAAUUCUUUACCAUUUUUGUCAGUGCCGAGGUGGCCGUUGGUAGGCAUAGGAAUCUUGACGCCUUUGCAUUCAUGCAUGUCGAAUUUCCUCAGAACGUCCUUGAGGUAUUUCUCUUGAGAUAUGAAGAUGCCAAUGUGUUGUUGACGAAUUUGCAGACCUAAGAAGAAUUUCAGCUCCCCCAUCAUGGACAUUUGAUAUUCUUCACCCAUCAUGUAGGCAAAUUCAUCACUGUAACGUUUGUCAGUACAACCAAAAAUAAUGUCGUCGACAUAUAUUUGGCACACAAAUAGUUCAUUGUCAUAGGAUUUUGUGAAAAGAGUAGGGUCAAGUGAAUCGGGUUUGAAGCCUUUCUUCAUGAGGAAUUCCUUCAAUGUAUCAUACCACGCCAGAGGGGCUUGCUUGAGGCCAUAGAGUGCCUUUUUGAGUUUGAAGACUUUGUCCGGAUGCUUCGGGUCUUCAAAACCUGGUGGCUGAGCAACAUAUACCUAUUCCUCAAGCUUACCAUUGAAGAAUGCACUUUUCACAUCCAUUUGAUAUGGAGUAACAUUGUGAUGAUUAACAUAAGCAAGUAAUAUUCUAAUAGCUUCAAGUCUAGCAACAAGUGCAAAAGUUCCAUCAAUGUCAAUUCCUUCAACGUGUGUGUAGCCUUGGGCUACAAGUCGUGCCUUGUUCCUCACAACCUGAUCAUCCUCAUCUUGCUUGUUUCGAUAGAUCCACUUGGUGCUGAUGAUAUUGUGCUUGCGAGGAUCUGGUCUUUUGACGAGUUCCCACACGUCAUUUAGCUUGAACUGAAGAACUUCAUCUUGCAUGGCUUGAAUCCACUCAGGUUCCAUGAAGGCUUCGGUAACUUUUGAGGUUUCUGUGAUAGACACAAAUGAGGAGUGACCACAAAAGUUAACUAAAUGUGAAGCUUUUGAGCGAGUGAGAGGACCUAUCGCAUUGAUGUCAUCGCGGAUUUUGUCAAGUUCCACUUCAUUUGCAAUCCUUGGAUGAGUUGGUUGAAGACUUUGGUUGGGCUGAGGAAUUUGAUAUGUAGCAUUUUCCUCAGGUGCACCAGCUUGAAUUUCCUUAGUGUUUGGGACGACUUCUUCAACAAGGGGUUGUUCCUCAGUAGGAAUGAUAUCUUCAGUAGCCUUGAGCUUGAUGGCUUCCUGAGGAGAUAGUUUAUCUGGCACAGGAGGUAGUUGCUCUCUUUGCGAGCCAUUAGUUUCGUCGAACCGCACAUCUACAGUUUCAACAACCUUGUUGUGAUAGGUGUUGAAGACUCUGUAGGUGUGCUAGUCCUUCCCAUAACCAAGCAUAAAACCCUCAUGUGCUUUAGGUGCAAACUUUGAGCUAUGGUGAGGGUCUCUAAUCCAACAUCUUGCAUCGAAGACUUUGAAAUAACUUACAUUGGGUUUCUUGUCAGUGAGGAGUUCAUAUGAGGUUUUCUUGAGGAAUUUGCGAAGAUAUACUCGGUUGAUGAUGUGGCAAGUAGUGUUGAUUGCUUCAGGCCAGAAGCAACGAGGAAUCUGAUAUUCUUCAAGCAUAGUCCGUGUCAUUUCGGCCAGAGUCCUAUUCUUGCAUUCAAUGACGCCAUUCUAUUAAGGAGUAUAAGGAGCAGACAGUUCGUGAGUAAUACCAAGUUCAUCAAGAUAAUCAUCAAGGCCAUCAUUCUUGAAUUAUGUCCCAUUAUCACUCAUGAUGUGUUUGAUCUUGACUCCAAAGUUAGUUGAGCCCCUUGAGGAAAAUCAUUUGAAGACUUCCUGCACUUCACUUUUAUGCAGAAUGAUGUGUACUCAAGCAUAGCGUGAAUAGUCAUCAACGAUUACAAAGCCAUAUAAAGAUGAUGCAUUAGUUAGAGUAGCAUAAGGAGUAGGUCCAAACAAAUCCAUGUGAAGCAAUUCAAAUGGACGAGUAGUAGUCAUGAUAGUCUUCGAGGGGUGUUUGGAUCUCGUUGUUUUUCCAGAUUCACAAGCACCACAUAGAUGGUCCUUGAGGAAUUUGACGGAUUCGAUGCCAAUGACAUGCUUCUUCUUCGCCAGUGUGUGCAAAUACCUCAUACCUGCAUGACCAAGUCAUCGAUGCCAUAGCCAGCCUUCUGAGGUGUUUGCUAGUAAGCAUGUGGUUGGUCGAGGACCUGUGGAAAAAUCAACAAUGUACAAAUCUCCUCUCCUAAAGCCUUCGAAGACUUUGGAUUUGUCAUAUUCCAUGAUGACUACACAUCUAUAUUUUCCAAAGAUGGCAACCAUAUCAAGAUCACAAAGCAUUGAGACUGGCAUGAGGUUAAACCCAAGGGAUUCGACAAGCAUGACUUUGUCCAUGUGCCUGUCCUUGGAGAUAGCAACUUUUCCAAGUCCCAAUACCUUGCUUUUACCUUUAUCAGCGUAAGUGAUUUGCUUCAGUGGUGAUGGAGUCAGUGGCAUAUUCAUCAACAUGCUUUUAUCACCAGUCAUGUGAUUUGUGCAACCACUGUCAAGAACCCACUCUGUAUUCUUGGGUUUGUCAUCCCGCAGAUGAAUUAGUACAGCUUACCAUCUCAUAUGCUUCAAACUUGAAGAAUAUGAUAUCAAUUUCAUGAGAUAAGAAUUUCAUCAUAAACAAUAAUUUUGAGGACGUGUGAAAUGUUAUCAUUUCAUCAUUUUUAGCUUGCGUCCAAUCAAGCAAUUUCCUCAGUUCUCGAGCAAAUUCUUUAGAUGAUGACAUUCAUCUGGAGACCUGACCUGUAGAAGAGAUUAGUUCAAUUUCUUCACCACCCACAACUGAAGGGGUGGCAAAAAGUUUAUCAUCCCACGAGCACCAUAUGAGAAUGGAGGCAUUGAAGCUAAUGCACUUCUUUUCACAGUAGGGGGUUAGAUUACUCAAAUGAAUAGGCAGAGAAAUUCUUUGAGGACUUAUGAACAUAAUGAUUUGAGGAAUAACACGCAUAUUCAUGUCCCUUGUAAUUUCCCUGCAUAUCAGAAGCAUUAGCGCGAGUACUAGCAUAAUAUCGACCAUUUGAGGAAUUUGAUACUCGUGAAGACUUUGGUCCACCUUAGGAAUUUGAUCUGGGGUCCUGGUUCUUCACACGUGGUGUCAUGAGGACAUUCACUUGAAGAUUUUCCGAGCAACUUUUGGGGACCCAGAUUUUCCUCAGGGGUGGUCCAUUCCUGUAGUUAGUUCCAACAUAUUGAGCAAAUACUUCACCAGAUUGAUUUUUGAACAGUUUAUAGUUGGAGUCAAAUGACCCAUCAAAGGAAUAGGAUAUUUCACAUGCAAAGCCUGUUAGAGUGGAUGGAUCGAUGGGAGGGCCUUUAGCAGCAACCCAUGAGUUUUUGGGGUACUGCACAGGUUUCCAGUAUGAUCCAUCGACAUUCAAUUUCCUCUCAAAGGCAAUGCCUCUUUCCUCGGGUUCCUGUUCAAAAUAUGUUUUUUGAGCACAUCGCAAAGGGUUUGAUGCCCUUUGAGACUUUUGUAUAUGCAUGUCACAUACAAAUCCUUCAACCCUGCAUUUUUGUGAGUAACAUUUGUGGUUUCCUCAAGUGAAGAAUUUGAUACCACAGGAAUAGUUGAAGUAUUUGUAGCCAUAGAAGCAUUUGAUGAUUCUGGUGAAGAAUUAGCAGUUUCACGCUCAAUGCAUUUCAAACAUGGUGGAAUGAAUUCAACCUGCAAGCAAUGAAUCAUUUUCCAUUCAAAGAUCAUGAUGAGGCAUUAUCAACUUCUCAAGAUCAAGCUUCCUCUUAAGAAAUUCAUAGGAAAGUUUCUCAUGAUCAGCCAAUAGUGUGGCAUAACAAUCUUGAAGACUUUUCACAUCUUGAGUGAGGACUUGAAUACGAUUCAUUUCAUCGUUCAACAAAUCAUCGCUUCUGUCUAGCAGUUUCUGAAGCUUUUCAAUGGCACUUUGUUGCUUAGUGGCAAUGUUGGCAAGUUUAUAGUAACUGGGUUUUUGAUAAUCAUUAGGUUCACAGUCACUAGAAUUAGCGGAGGAAGUAUGGUUUGGUACCUUUGAAAAUUUUAGCAUGAAGCAAUAGGUUGGAGCAAAGUCAUCAGCAUAUUCAUCGGUGUAGAUAGUGUUGUCAUUUUCUUCAAGGUUGAAUAUUGGCUUGCUGACGAAUGUGGUAGCCAGUGCAAGACUUGCCACACCAGACUCUGACUCUACUUCAGAACCUUCCUCUUCAUCACAUUCCUCAGAUUCAUCUUCAGAAUCCAUUUCCUUGCCAACGAGUGCCCGAUCCUUUCUAAAUCUGGGAUUCUUGUGCGAUGAGGACUUUGAAGAUGAGGAUUUCGAAGAUUUCUUCUUUUUCUUCGAGUCAUCAGAACUUUCAUCCUUGUAUUUCUUCUUCCUUGAUUCUUUCACCCAGCGAGGACAGUCAGCAAUGUAGUGACCAGAUUUCUUGCAUUUGUGGCAGGUUCUUUUCUUGUAGUCCUCAGAUAAAGAUUCUGAUUCCCUCAUAUAUCUUCUUGAAGAUUUUCCAAACUGGCCACACUUUGUAAACUUCUGGAAUUUCCUCACGAGCAUUGCAAGUUCCUGUCCAAGUUCUUCAGGGUCACCAAUGUUGCAAUCUGAGUCUUCUUCUUGGAUGAGGAAAUAGCCUUAACCUUCAACGCACGGGGUCUUGAGUAUUUUGGUCCAUACAGAUCUCUCUUUUCUUCUUGUUGGAAUUCAUGAGUAUUGAGUCUCUCAAGUAUACCAGCAGGAUCAAGCAUCUUGUAGUCUUUUUGUUCUUGAAUCAUCAGAACGAGUGUGUCAAAUGAUGGAUCAAGAGAUCUUAGCAGUUUCUUCACAACUUCAUGGUCAGCGUGUCUCUAGCUCCCAGUGCUUGCAGUUCAUUUGAGAUGUCAGUGAGGCGAUCAAAGGUAUCUUGGCAGCUUUCAUUGUCAAGCCUCUUGAAGCGAUUGAAGAGAUUGAGAAGAACAUCGACACGAGAGUCAUACUGUGUUGAGACUCCCUCAUUGACUUUGGACAACCUAUACGAGAUAAGCUUAGAUGUGCCCAAAGCACUCACUCUCCCAUACCAACCUUUGCUCAGAUGGCCACAUAUGAUAUUCUUUGCUUGCGAGUCAAGUUGCUUGAACUUCUUCACAUCAGCGGGAGAGAUAGUAGCAGUGAUGGAGGGAAUAUCAUUUUCCACAAUAUACUAGAGAUCAUUGUCAAUAGCUUGAAGAAGCAUUUGCAUCUUUGUCUUCCAGUAGGGAAAGUCCUUUCCUUCGAAGGCAGGACAUCCAGCAGUAACCUUGAUCAUACUUGCGAUCAACAUAACUAAAACUUCAGGUGGUUAAACCAAAAUCACACAGAACAAGGAAGUACCUUUCUCUGAUACCAAUUGAAAGUGCGUUAUAUCGACUAGAGGGGGUGAAUAGGAGAUUUUAGAAUUUCAUCACUGAGGAAAUUCCUUGUGAGGAAAGUCCUCAGUUAUGAACUGAGUGCAGCAAAAAUAGUACAUGAUCAGGUGUCCAAAAACGUCUACACCAAAGUACUCGAUGAGAUUUCAUAGAUUCGGUUUGCACAGUUCACAAGUACAGAGUAAGCAGGUGAAGAUUAACUCAAGUGAAGAAUUUGAGGUUGAGGAAAUUGAGAGAAAGUCUUCAGACAAAUUCUUCAAACAGUACAGAUGAAAGUCUUCAACAUACAAUUGAGGAAAUGAAAGAGUUGAAGAAAAGGAACCCGUAGCUUGAUGAAGACAAUUGUUGAUGACCCAGUUCCAACUGAUGUGACAGUUGCACGUCUGGUUCGGAGCGGCUUGGUAUUGAAAGCAAAGGACACACAUUCCCUACUGUAUUCUCCUUGAGCUAAGGACACACAGUCCUCGCCCAACACUCGAGUAAAGUCUUCAACGGAUACUUCCAAACCCUCACAAACUCGGUCACCCGGCGAUCCACAAUUGACUGUUGGAUGCUCUAGACCAUGACGCCUAAUCGCCUGGAGGAUGCACAAUCCUCAAAGGUAACAAGCUUCGGUUCCACAUAGGAACAAGUUCUUCAGUUAUGCUCAAUCACUUGGGUUUUUGGUUUGGGUUUGGUGUUUGGGGUAUUUCCUCACUUGAUGAUUUUCUCUCGAAGACUCUAAGGAAUUUGGGUUUCUCUAAAUGACAAGUGUCAGUUUCUCUCGGAGCAGCCAACCAACAAGUGGUUGGGGGGUAUUUAUACUCUUGGAGCACCCUGACAUGAUUUGACAUAAAUGCCCUUAAAUAAUAUGACCGUCGGGUGGAUAAGAUCAGUGACGUGGCGCGUGGCGCGGCAACGGUCAGAACUUUCAACUGUGAAAGUCCUCAUGUCUCUCAUAUUCCUCACUUUGAGGAUUUGGUAAAUUUAGGCUUGGGUUGAGCAUCAUGAGGAAAAUCAUUCCGUAGUUUUACCUCGACCCCCUUUAACAGUACGGUGUUCCUGUGAUUCAAGUGGAAAGAAAAUGAAACAGAAAGAGUAAAUCCUCACGCUUCAAAGUCUUUAGAGUGUUUUCUUCAAGACACACCGAAUUCCUCAUCUUCAAUAUCUUCAUGAGGAAUAUCAAUUUCAUCGCAAUCUCUUCGCGAUCAAAGUCUUCAAGGAAGGACCAAACUCUUCAUCCGAAGACACACAUUUUUAGAGGUCGGUAUUCAUCGGAUAACUCAACCUCCUAAGCGACUUAUAGAGCCUGUAUACACUCACAAACAUAUCAGUCUCUUAACCUAUAAGUCUUCAAACCACCAAAAUCACUAAGGGGCACUAGAUGCAGUUAAAAGCAUAAAUUUUGUAGUCUCCCAUUUACCCAUCUAGCCAAUCUCCUCAUCCUUUCACAAGCACUUACGAAAAAGACUCAUCACAACGUACUCAUCCUCUUUUGGUAGUAUUGGCAUGCGAGUAUACUCAUCAUGAUCUUGGAUCACUAAAAUGAAAAUGGAGAAUGUUUGAGCUUAGCCAACAUAUGUCUUCAUGUAAGAUUGUGGGGGUCAUCUUCAUUGCCUCUGUUGCAACAUAAGGAACUUUCCUGAUAUGACCUUGUAAUAUACAUUAGUUCAUUGAUAUAUGUUGACAUUUAUUACCCAAAUCUAUCUAGGGGAUUAAAUGCAUUUUCAUGGUGCGGUCAUACCUAGGGUUUCUACGAGGAAGGUCUUGAGAAAAAUGCCUCUUGGAUCGAUACAUGACUUACUGGUGGCAAAAGGUAUAAUUUUCAACAACUCCAUAUAUCUUAGCUCUUUGAAUCUGGUUCCAUUGCUUCACGGAUUUGUACCAGAUGUUGCCUCUAGUAUCACAUACAUGCUAUAUUCAGCUAUCCUCUUCAGAGUGAAUCCUAACGGGGCAUUGGUUGCAAGUUGAUAAUUACUACAAUUUCGUGUUAACCGUAGUGAGUGAAUGUUUUUUUAGAACCCUAACUUCUAUUAAUACCUUAUAUUUAUUCCCAAAUUUGAGAUUACUAUCUACUUCUUACUUUAUUUAAGGACGAGUUCUUACCUUUUAUUGAUUCCACACAUGGACUACACCUUCGUGGUUAGGUUUACCUAUCGCCGACAACCUUUAAAAGAAUAGCUUGAUGACAGAGGAUGGCAAUUUUACGCAUGGAUACAGGUGCCCGCGGAUACCGUACCCGCAUGGGUAAGGUAUGGACACAAUUUUAUACCCAUGGAUGGUACCCGUACCCUACCCGUUAAUUCGUAUGUAGUUCAUUGUGAAUCUCUAAAAUGUCUUAUAUUUAGGAACGGAGGGAGUGUGAGUUAUUGAGUAGAGAUAAAUGUCUUUUUAUCAAAUGUGCUAUCGAUGAAUGUAAAAUUGCAAAUAACUUGUGUACUAUUUGAUCUAUCGAUCGGGUAUCCAAUGGUAUGGGUACCCAUCGGGUAUGAGUACGGAUAAAAUUUCAUAUGCAUGGGUACGAGUAUGGAUAUGAUAUUGCUCUACCCGUUCAUGCCCUACACGUUGCCGUCCUGCUAAGGCGUGUCGACUCUGUCUGAUGUAUAAUGUAGUUAGGUCUUCAAAGUCGAAGCAAAUGAGUGAUUCUCAUCGAAAGACCAGGACACUCAAGGUGCAUAUCACCAAGCUAGAAUUCUACUCCCUCCGUUCUUAAAUAUAAGUCUUUUAAGCGAUUUCACUAAGGGUCUACGUACGGAGCAAAAUGAUUGAAUCUAUACUCUAAAAUAUGUCUAUAUACAUCCGUAUAUAGUCCACUAGUGAAAUCUCUAAAAAGACUUAUAUUUAGAAACCGAGGGAGUACAUGGUUUAUUUAUUUAUUUUUGCCGAGGGAUUGAUAUAGCAAAAUAAGAUUCUGCAUGUGGUAAGGAAACCAAAUUCUUGGUGUACCCUGUUAUUUCCUUUUCCUCGUGCAUACUGUCGUGUUCAUAUUUUUUUUAAAUCUCAUCUUUUAUCAAUAAUUUAUCUUUAUUUACAACUUUUUGCUUGCUAUUUUUAUGAGUUCAUUGUCCUCAAUUGCACGCGUGGACUAGACAUUGAUGGUUCAAUUGAUCAUUUUGUAAACUUCAAAAGAUUCUUUGUAUAUUACUUUUUUAUUUUUUAUUUGUGUGAAAUGAGAUUAUUUGAUCGUGUACAUUUCAAUUAUGCAAAGACAGCGUGCAAUGAUUAAAUAUUUUAACUAAUAAGUCACCCCUUUUGAAGAAAAAAAAACUGAUAAAGCAUGUCGUUUAGUAUGUGAUGUGUGUAUGAUGUAGUUGGGUCGUCAAAGUCCAUAGCUGUCCAAGUAUUUGAAGGAGUGCUUCUAGUUGAAAUGUCAGAGCUUCUAAGGUUUAUAUGACCAAGCCAAAAUUCUACAGUAUAUAUGUGAUUUUUUAUCGUCUUUUUCUGCCCAGGGAUUGAAAUAAGAAAAAUAAAACUCCACAUCUUCUCGGAAGGAAAAGGAAAAUUCUUAUAUACUAAAAAAAAAGAAGGAAAAUUCUUGGUGUGUCCUCUUCUUUCCCUUUCUCCCACUGUCCUUCCGAAUCAAAACAAAAGCCAAACGACUAUUCCAAAAUUUCCCAGCAUCCAUUUCCUCCCCCAUCUCCACCGCCACCACCUCCUCCCCCCCUCCUCUCCAUGGCCGACUACCACCGCCCCUACCAUCGCGACCUCCGCCCCCCGCCGUCCUCGGUCCCGGACCCCACCGUCUUCCACGGCAAUGGUUACUUCUCCUCCGUCUCCCCACAAGCCAACGGCUACUUCUCCUCCGCGCCGAAAGACGGCGCCUUCCCCGGCGCAGGCGACCGGCGGAUCGAGAUCUACACGACGGCGCCUCCGCCUCUCCCACCACCUCCGCGCCUCGCACUGCCCCCUCCUCCGGGCAGGAGGGAAGGUGGCGUGGGGAGCGGAGGCAGCGGAGGGGGAGGCGGGGGUGGUGGAAGCGCCAACAUGUGGUGCUUCAGCGACCCGGAGAUGAAGCGGCGGCGGCGGGUGGCGAGCUACAAGGCUUACUCAGUGGAGGGGAAAGUGAAGUCGUCGCUGAGAAGGGGCCUCCGCUGGUUCAAGGGCAAGUGCUCCGAUAUCUUCCACGGCUGGUAACCUCCUCUGCUCGGACGGUGACAGGGUCCCAAGAAACCCAAGCUCCUGAAAAUGUCUGCAUUUUGGAAUCUUUUGUUUGAAGGUAAUGUUCAGAAUAAUUCCUCUACCACUGAUUGGAUGCAUUUGAGGUUGUGACUGUAUAUUGAUGAGCUAAUGGAGGCUUAGAGGAACUUGCGACGGGUGUGAAUUUUCAUGAAUGUUUGUGAUGUGUCGUAUUCGAACCUCUGUAGAUUUAUCUGCAAGCGGUGGUGGUGAUUAGUCAUGUUACCCAUAUCUGUUACUACUAAUAAAAUACUAGGGCUGUGUGGGCAAAUGUAUCUUUUUAUGGAUAGUCGCAUGGUUUUAGUGGUUAUGAUUAUUUGUUGGGAGAUUGGUUUUCAAUCAGACUCAGGAAUCAUGGAAAUUUUUGCUUUUUUUGUACUCGAUCACUAUGAAUGCUGAACUGUCAGUGGUACUACCAUUUUAUCUUGUGGUUUGAAUGGCUGGUGAAGUGUGUGGUACUGCCAUCCAUUGGAGUAGGUGUUCCGCUAGGAGGGAUUGAAGUGCAAUAAAUUCUUUCAGGCAGGUACGGAUUAGGUGCAUUUAUGAACUUCCAUCUGAAAUUAAUAAACAGAAGGACAUAUGAGACUGAACACCCCACUGAUUGGCUUAAAACUGUUGCAAAUGCUGCUAAUUACCUAAUCACAUAUUCAGUGGUAGUCUGAUAACUAACGUCAGCUAUUUGAACAUAAUAAUUUGGUCCAGUUCUUUUUGUUAUUUCUACAUGUAUUUUUUUAUAGAAAAUAUGAAGUUAUCCUGUGGUUGGUGUGGCAUGUUGACAACCAAACCAUUUCACAUUACUAUUGGCUUGAUUAUAUUGCUUGACAACCCUUUGUUUGUUUCAACCCUACGUUCGGUGUGGCAUGGUUUGGUUCACCAAACUUCCUUAUGUUUGUCCGUAUGGUAACAACACAGUCAAGCCAAUAUUUGUUGAUAUGUAGAUAUGUUGAUGACCUACCUUUGGUCUUUAUGUUACAAUUAUCAUAUCAGCCCUUUGGUCCUUACGAUAGUAACAUAAUUGACCCUUUGCUUGAUAGAUUUGCUAGACAACAUCAUCGUCAGCAUGGUAAAAUCAGUCUUAUUUCUGGCAGAGGUGCUUUUGGUUGAUGACUUGAUGUUACACGGUGACUAAGCCUUGUAUAUCAUGUUAAAGAAACAUAGUAGACGCUAACACAUUUUCAGUUUGGAUUUUCCGCGAGCUCUAUAAUCAGGCACAUUCAACACAGAUGCAUCGAGAUGUAUAGAUGAAUUGAUUAUGUUGUGUGUCAAAUCUUAAUAUGCGUUGUUCGGGCCAUGAGACAAAAGUGAUUCUCAUCAAUCUGUAUAGCGGGGCCAAACGAGUUUCCUUUGUUAAAGAAGAUUGCACAUGAUUGAUCUGUUGCUAGUUCCUCCAUUGGUUCAUUCUGACGGGUAGUUGCUUAAUCUUGUCUAUUCCCUGCUUCCCUGUUUUUUUUUGUAUGAUGAGUACUUCUUCUGAGUGAACAGUUGCUUUCAUUUGACUUGUUUCAGAAAGUUCCAUUUUCAUGAAAAAAAACUGAUGCUGCAUUGAGGGCACCAGCCAUGCAAUGCAAAAAUGUCCUACGAAAUGAUAAUGGAAUCUUUGACUGCUUGUGUUUCUCAGGAAGAGGUGUGGAGGCGUUUGCUCCUGACAUAGCCCACAUGUUUCUUUAUCUUCAUCUUUACUCUCAAUAAUGAUGUCAAACGAUGGGGGGAGUGGUCCGGGAACCUUCUCCUCUUUACUCUUGGGAUUUCAAAACUUUGAUCUUAGGUAUCUCAUUUUGCUGCAAACAACUCUCAGUACUUCUUGAGAUGGAAGAUCAUCCAAUAGCUGGGAUGAAGCCCAGAGCGUGCUAUGGAUUGAAGUUGUGAUACCGCUGCUGGAGUAGCCUAAUUUGUUGAUCUACUAGUGUUCCGUAAUUUCUUCUGUGUAAUAGGUUGCAGUUCCCUCGAAAAAAAAAGGGUUGAAGUUGCAACUUACUACCUCCGUUCCUAAAUACGUCUUUUUAAAGAUUUCACUACGGACUACAUAUGAAAAAAGAAGCGAAUUAUAUACAUCUGUAUGUAGUCUGUAGUGGAAUCCCUAAGGGCUCCUUUGAUUCAAAGGAAUUGAAUAUGAUUUUUGGAGGAUUUAGUCCCUUAGGAAUUUUUCCUUUGAUGGUCGUUUGAUUCGUAGGAUUGGCAUCCUUAGGAAUUUUUUCAUAGGAUCUAUUUGUACAAAAUUUUGGAGGAAAUUUUUCAUCCACUCAAACCUCUUUGUAGAAUUUGUUGAGUUGUUACGUUCCUUGUGCAUAACGUUUCCUUGUACUUAUCCACUGUAACCACCACACCUAGUCUUGGGGAUGACUGCGGCACCACCUCCUUCAUAUCCUUGCAUGUAGGGAUCGGUGGUGACCCUUGGUGUAUAUAUAUGUGUAAUCUCUUGAUGAGUAAAGU
Molecule: long non-coding RNA, 35932 nt
Filed under: Hordeum vulgare
Lineage: Eukaryota; Viridiplantae; Streptophyta; Magnoliopsida; Poales; Poaceae
Description: long non-coding RNA (HVUL_LNC001693)
Source: RNAcentral